CCUCUCAAUUUAUUUGAAUUUUGAUAAAAUUAAACAAUUUAGCAAUUGUUUGUGAUAUAGUAUCUUAAUUUUUCUGGGCUAAUCUUAUUUAGUUAUACACAAUAAUUGUGCUUUAUUGGUUAAUUGUGUGUAGUUCUUGUUGUGAUAUAUCAUAUGAAAGUAGUUUUGCUUGUUAAUUUACAAUACUGAGUGAAGUAUUAUUGGUCACAAUCUAUCUAUAAAUUUGCUAUUCAAGUGUUGUUAUUAAUUUAAUUGCUACAGAUUUUAUGCGAUUGUAUUUUGUUAAAUUACAAAGAUAAAUGGCUUAUAGAUAGUCUAUGCUUUGUUCUGAUCACACAUGAACCUGCUUAGUUAUAAGAAAAUAUCUUACUUUUCAUUUGGGAGUUUCAUUUAUUGAGUAGAUAUUUAGCUUGCUAUUUUUACACCAGAAGUCAAAAUGUUGUUUAUUUCUUAAUAUAUAAUUGGAAUAUAGCAAGUCAAAGUUUGAUUUCUAUAAUGAGGUGGUUUCCACAUGAUUCUAGAUGUGUUUAGUGAGCUUACUUUAUUAUACAUCAUUAGAAUAAUCCAAUCAUUGACAUAAUGCGUAAGACUACUACACAACUCACAAGGUACUAAUUUGCAAGUUCAUUAUAAUAAUCCUAUUAUUUCAAUAUACAAAUCAUAACUUUGCAACAAGUUUAAUCUUUCCACCACUUUAUGUUGGAUAACGAGUAAACAUUUAUAGUUUUAUAUACUAAAGUACCUAUUAUAUAAGUCAAUGAUAUACUAUGAACCAACUAUUAUAUAUCUAACCACACCUUAUGGCAGCUUAUCAAAGUAACUAGCUACUUUGUUAGUAGAAGUAUAGUUUUAGUUUCUAGUUUACUUUAAUAAACAUGAGUAAACAAUUAUAACACUUAAAAAAAAAGAACAAACUAACAAAAAUUAAUUUGCAGCAGUAUGAGUUCAGAUCGAGGAUGGAUGUAUAAGAGACUUGAUGAUGGAAAAUUUCUUAGUUCAAUUUUUGUUAACAAAGUUGAUGAAUUCAUUGAUUUUGCUAGUGUCCAAGAAAAUGUAUUGAUAGAUGGCUUAAUGAAAUGCCCUUGUUCAAAAUGUGAAAAUAUCCCAUAUCAAAGUGUAGACACCAUCAAGUUACAUCUUUACAAGAAUGGCUUUCAACCUGAUUACUAUCGUUGGACAUGUCAUGGGGAAGACUACUUUCAAAAUAUAACUUUAAGUAGUUGUUUCACCACUACACCAGAAGAGUCUAACCCCUACAAGGACAUGGUAAUGGAUGCAUUUGGACAUGAAUAUGUUGUAGAAGAUGUUGUAGAUGAGGACCCACCUCUAGAGCAAAAAAAGUUCUUUGACAUGUUGGCAGCUGCAGAGAAACCUCUAUACAAUGGAUCUAACAUGUCUUGGCUUUCUGUUGCAGCAAGAAUCACAAAUAUCAAAUGUGAAUAUAACAUCCCUCAUAGAGUUGUUGAUAGUGUUACAUCUUUAAUGAAAGAUAUGUGUCCAGAGGAGAACAAGAUGACUGAUAAUUUUUAUAAGACUCGGAGACUACUUGAUGGACUAAAACUACCGCAUCACAAGAUAGAUGUAUGUCCCAAUGGAUGUAUGUUAUUUUGGAAGGAACACAAAGAUCUUGUAGAAUGUGUUGUUUGCAACGAAGGUCGUUUCAAGCCUUCAAGGGCAAAUGGUAAGAAAAGUCCUAAAAGUAUGCUUCAUUAUUUACCAAUUGCUCCAAGAUUGCAAAGGUUGUACGCUACCAAAUCUACGGCAAAGCAAAUGAGGUGGCAUGCAGAGUUUAAGCGACUAGAAGGUGUAAUGGCUCAUCCGUGUGAUGGAGAGGCAUGGAUUGAUUUUGACAAAACAUUUCAAGAUUUUGCAAAAGAAUCAAGAAAUGUUCGACUUGGCCUUUGUACUGAUGGGUUUUCACCUUUUGGUAAGUCAGGGAUUCAAUAUUCUUGUUGGUCUGUGAUUGUAACUCCUUAUAAUUUGCCACCAUGGUUGUGCUUGAAAAAGCCUUUCAUGUUUUUAAGUUUGCUCAUUCCUGGCCCAAAAAGCCCUAAGGGAAAUCUCGAUGUCUUCUUGCAACCUCUGAUUGAUGAGCUAAAGAUGCUCUGGAAUGUAGGGGUGCCAACUUAUGACAUCUCUAAAAAACAGAAUUUUCAAAUGAAAGUUGCAUUGCUUUGGACAAUUAGCGAUUUCCCCGCUUAUGGUAUGUUGUCCGGAUGGAGUACGGCCGGUCGACUAGCAUGCCCAUAUUGCAUGGAGAAGACAAAAACAUUCACUCUUACUCAUGGAAAUAAGCAAACAUGGUUUGAUUGUCAUUGACAAUUCUUAACCCAUGACCACGUUUUCAGAAAAAAUAAAAGUGGGUUCUACAAAAAUAGAAUUGAGUGUUCUUCCCCUCCACCAAGAUUGAGUGGAGAGCAAAUUAAGGAGAGAUUGUCAUCUUUGCCAAAAGUUGAAGGUUGUUCAUGUGGAAAUGUUAAGAUUCAAGCAAAUGGAGUGAGCUUGAUGAAAGAGACCCAAGAAGAAGUUUUGCAAAGAUAUGGCAAAGAGCAUCAUUGGAUAAGGAAAGUAUUUUUUGGAAGCUCCCAUAUUGGAGCAAGCUCUUGAUACGUCACAAUAUUGAUGUCAUGCAUAUUGAAAAGAAUGUUUUUGAUAACUUGUUCCACACUAUCAUGGAUGUUAAAGGGAGAGUAAAGAUAACAUGGAAUCAAGAAAAGAUCUAAAAAAGUUUUGUAAGCGGCGGAAGUUAGAAGUUCAAGAUGUGAUUUCUCGUGAUGGAAAGUCAAAGAAGCAAGUGAUGCCAAAUGCUUCAUAUGUCUUGCCUAAGGAGAAGAGAAAACUUGUAUGUGAAUGGGUGAAGAAGUUGAAGUUUCCUGAUGGUUAUGCAUCUAAUUUAAGUAGAUGUGUUGAUACUAAGGAAUGCAAGUUAUCAGGAUUGAAAAGUCAUGAUUGUCAUGUCUUUAUGCAACGUUUAUUGCCAAUUGCCUUUAAGGAUCUUCUGCCUAUCAGUGUAUGGAAUGUUGUGACUGAAUUAAGUCAAUUCUUUAGAGAUUUAUGCUCGGCCACUUUGAAAUUUUAUGAGAUGGUACGAUUAGAGAACAUAUUGCUGAGAUUCUUUGUAAGUUAGAAAGAGUACUUCCACCUAGUUUCUUCAAUUCCAUGGAGCAUCUUCCUGUCCAUUUACCAUAUGAGGCAAAAGUUGGAGGACCAGUACAGUUUAGAUGGAUGUACCCUUUUGAAAGGUAAAUAUACAUUCAUCUUUACUUUCCUUAAUUUUUAUUCUGGCAUAUUUUCCUUCUACUUCAAUAUAUGUCAAAAAAAAAUCAAGUAAAAAAAAUCAAUUAUUUUUGUUUGUUAGGUUUUUAUAUCAUUUGAAGAAAAAGGUAGGAAAUAAAUCUCGAGUUGAAGGGUCCAUUUGUAAUGCCUACCUAAUCGAAGAAAUUUCAAACUUUUGCUCUCUGUAUUUUGAGAAAGAUGUUGACACAAAGGCUAACACUCAAGAAUUAGUUGAUCCAUGUGUUCAAGAACACUUAGACCUACCUGAGAUUUUCUCAAGCAUUGAUGGGCAUAGUUCCUCCAACGGUAAAUUUUGUUAUCUUGAUGAGAGGGAUUACAACACUGCACACAGAUAUGUCCUUAAUAACUCUGAAUUACUUUCAGAAUAUGAACGGUAAUUACAUGUCCAACAACUUUUAUACACUUUCAUCAAAUAGUUAGUUUUUUAAGAUAUACUAAAGCAACCUUUUAAUAGCAUUUUUGAGGAGAAAAUUAUUAGAGAACAUAGUUGCGGAAAUGAGGCUGAAGUUUGGUCCAAGUAUGAAGAUAAAUUUCCUAGUUGGUUCAAGGAAUAUGUAAGUAGCAUACUGGCUAUAAAUUUGUUACAUUUCUAUUUGAGGAUAUUUUAAAUUGGCUUUAAGAGUGUAUCUUUGGUAUAGGUUCUUGCAACGGGCACAAACGACGACAUAAUUUAUUCUUUGGCACUUGGUCCUUCAACAAGGGUUCAAAAAUUCAAACAAUAUCAUGUUAAUGGGUUCCAUUUUCACACAUUUGACUAUGGAAAACAUAAGUCUAACAUGAAUUAUGGUGUAUGUGUGAAAGGUGUUCAAGGAAAUGAUUACUAUGGAAUUCUACAAGAAAUCAUAGAAUUAGUGUAUUUUGGGGAUAAAAAGUGUUUUAAAACACUCUUAUUCAAAUGUGAUUGGUUUGAUCCAGGACAAGGUACAAGGACACAUGAGAAGUAUAAAGUAGUUGAGGUGAAUCAUAUGAGAAAAUAUCCAAAGUAUGAUCCAUUUAUAUUGUCUUAUCAAGCUGAGCAAGUGUAUUUUACUCCAUGUCCUAAUACUAGCAACGAAAGAAACCAAUGGUGGGCUGUGUUUAACAUCAAGGCAAGAGGAAUUAUCGAUGCACCAAAUGUGGAGGUGGAAUUUCAAGAGGAUUUUAUUGAUAAUCCAUCCUCACUUUCUGAUGUUGAUGUAUACAUUCAAGAAGAUGAAUUUACCUUUGAAGAAAUAUAUGGAGAAGAAGCAGCUGACAGUGUCGAGGAAGAAGAAGAAGAGGACGAUGGAAUGGAUGAGGAUGAUGACGAUGAGGAAGUAGAUGAGUAUGAGGAUGAAGACGAAGAUGAGGUUGAGGAUGAAGAAGAAGAUGAGGAUUUAGAUGUGGAUGACUGAAAGUUGAUCUUUUUUGGACUGCUGCUAUUUUUAUACCCUGUUUAAUUGAUAAUCUAUGACUGUUUGUAUAAGUUUUUGAUCUCUAAGUUAUAAGUUUGUAGGGAAUCUGAACUAUUAUUUUAUUAUCAAUGUUAGUCUUUUUUGGACCGCUUGCUAGGCCUAUGUUGAUGAUGAUGAAUUUUUUUUUUUAUUGAUUCUUUUACAUUUUUAUAAUGUUAAUUUUUCAUAGCAUAUCUUUCUGUUUCAGGUUAUAUGUGUUAAUUUUAUUUACAUUUACAGAGCUAUUUAAAAUUUUCACUUUGUUUGGAUUUGUGCAGAAUAUGUCCAAGUGUAGACGCAGAGGUGGCUAUAAUGGGAUGGGUCCAAUAAUUCGACAUAUACUUGUUCAUGUGCCAGUUAGCCACUUUCAAUUUCCACCACCAACAGAGCAAGAGAGUGACCAGAAUGUGCCACAUGAUCAUUCUUCUUUACAACAACCUCACUUUUCUGAUCAUGAGAUGGAAACUAACAAUCAUGAGGAGGAAGCCAACAAUCAUGAGACUGAAAUAAAUAAUCAUGAAAUAGAAAAUAGUAUAUCUGAUGAAACAGGGAAUUCUGCUAAGGGAGAUAAAGUUCUGCAUCCUACUAGUUUCUGGUAGGUUUAAGUAAUGCUUAAUGAACGAUGUAUGGUGUGGUUUGCGAUUGUACAAAACUGAGAGUUAAGUUUGAAAAAAAUAGUGUGGUUUCAUGAUUCCGAGGUUGUUAAUGCAGUCGUGAAUACAUCAUAUAAGAUGUACUUUCUUGGACCAUGGUGUAAUUGGUCAAUGGUACCUCGAGAAGCUAAGGUUUUAUGGUGGAAUGCCUUCAAG
Molecule: RNA transcript, 5518 nt
Organism: Chenopodium quinoa (quinoa)
Lineage: Eukaryota; Viridiplantae; Streptophyta; Magnoliopsida; Caryophyllales; Amaranthaceae
Gene name: activating transcription factor 7-interacting protein 1-like
Exons: 2
Source: RefSeq, a predicted model, not a curated record